Molecule: ribosomal RNA, 253 nt
Filed under: uncultured bacterium
Lineage: Bacteria
Description: partial 16S ribosomal RNA
Rfam family: Bacterial small subunit ribosomal RNA
Source: RNAcentral
GACGAACUGUCCUACCGCUGUUCGGAAUCACUGGGCUUAAAGGGCGCGUAGGCGGUCGAUCAAGUCAGGGGUGAAAUCCUGCAGCUUAACUGUAGAAGUGCCUUUGAUACUGGUCGUCUCGAGGGAGGUAGGGGUGUGUGGAACUUCCAGUGGAGCGGUGAAAUGCGUUGAUAUUGGAAGGAACGCCGGAGGCGAAAGCGACGCACUGGACCUCUUCUGACGCUGAGGCGCGAAAGCUAGGGGAGCAAGCGGG